This 1221-nucleotide ribosomal RNA is filed under the name Triticum aestivum (bread wheat). RNAcentral's name for it is "partial small subunit ribosomal RNA". Lineage: Eukaryota; Viridiplantae; Streptophyta; Magnoliopsida; Poales; Poaceae. The record is from RNAcentral.
AUGGUGGUUAACAUUGUUAAUGCUUCUUGUAAAAGACAUGAUCAAUUGGCCCAAGAGCAACAUGAUGAAAUAGUGCGUCAAAUAGAGGCUGGGGAACUUCUUGUGGGAAAAGGAAAAAACCAAUUAACAAACCUUGCUAGACCCGGUGAUACACGGUGGGGAUCACAUCAUAAAACCUUGUGUCGUCUUGUUCAGAUGUGGAAACCAGUUCUAAAGGUAUUAGAAAAUCUACACAAUGAUGCAGAUAAUGUUGCACAAAGAACCACAGCCGCAGGAUUGAUAAAGCAAAUGGAGUCCUUUGAAUUUGUUCUCAUAUUGCAUCUUAUGAUUACAUUAUUGGGCAAGACUAACAAUCUGUCACAAUGCUUGCAACUGAAAAAUCAGAAUAUUGUACGUGCUGUUGGAUUGAUUAAAACCACAUUAGAUGAUAUUCAAAAUAUAAGGCAGAAUGGUUGGGGUGAGCUCUUUAAAGAGGUAACAGACUUUUGUGUCAAGUACAACAUUGUAGUGCCAAAUAUGGAAGAUACUAGAACUGCUAAUGGGCGUUCAAGGACUUGGGGUAGGCAGUUGGUAACUUACAACCAUCAUUUCAGAAAUGAAAUAUUCAAUGUGUUGCAUGAUCAACUUAUUGUGGAGUUAAACAACCGCUUUGCUGAAAGGUCUACUCAAUUGUUGAGAUGCAUUGCUUGUCUUGAUCCCAAGAAUUCAUUUGCCAAUUAUAAUGAAGACAAGCUAGUAGACCUUGCUAAUAUGUAUGCUGCUGACUUCUCUACAUAUGAAGUUACUUUUGUCCUUAGAAACCAACUAGACUCAUUCAUUCAGGAAGCAAGAGUUGAUACACAUUUGAUGAAUUGCAAUGACCUUGGUCAUCUUGCCAUAAAUAUGGUUACAAGUAAUAUGCACACAACUUUUCCCUUGGUUUACCGUCUUGUUGAGUUAGCAUUGAUUUUACCUGUUGCAACCGCAACAGUGGAAAGUGCAUUUUCAGCAAUGAGCAUUAUCAAGACUGGAUUGAGGAAAAAAAUGGGUGAUGAUUGGAUGAAUCAUAGAAUGGUAUGUUACAUUGAGCGGGAUGUAUUUGUGAGUAUUGGAGAAUCAAAGAUCAUUGAGCGAUUUCAAGGUUAUCGCAGUCGCAAAUGCCUUUUGCCUCGUCCUGGACGUUUAGCUUCUUCGACUAUUGAAGAUGUUGUUAUGGGAGGGUCAGAUCAACCAAUCCUUUGA